Molecule: ribosomal RNA, 517 nt
Filed under: uncultured bacterium
Lineage: Bacteria
Description: bacterial SSU rRNA
Rfam family: Bacterial small subunit ribosomal RNA
Source: RNAcentral
CGAUACGAGUUUGAUCCUGGCUCAGGAUGAACGCUGGCGGCGUGCCUAAUACAUGCAAGUCGAACGAGGUGCUUGAGUAGCAAUACGAGAGUAUCCUAGUGGCGAACGGGUGAGUAACAUAUCGGAACGUACCCAGUCGUGGGGGAUAACUAUCCGAAAGGAUAGCUAAUACCGCAUACGUCCUGAGGGAGAAAGCGGGGGAUCGCAAGACCUCGCGCGAUUGGAGCGGCCGAUAUCGGAUUAGCUAGUUGGUGGGGUAAAGGCUCACCAAGGCGACGAUCCGUAGCGGGUCUGAGAGGACGACCCGCCACACUGGAACUGAGACACGGUCCAGACUCCGUACGGGAGGCAGCAGGUGGGGUAAUUUUGGACAAUGGGGGCAACCCUGAUCCAGCCAUUCCGCGUGAGUGAAGAAGGCCUUCGGGUUGUAAAGCUCUUUCAGCAGGAACGAAACGGUGGUCCCUAAUACGGACUACUAAUGACGGUACCUGAAGAAGAAGCACCGGCUAACUACGUG